Molecule: ribosomal RNA, 496 nt
Filed under: uncultured bacterium
Lineage: Bacteria
Description: partial 16S ribosomal RNA
Rfam family: Bacterial small subunit ribosomal RNA
Source: RNAcentral
AUGAACGCUGGCGGCGUGCCUCAUCCAUGCAAGUAGAACGCUGAAGGAAGGAGCUUGCUCUUUCCGGAUGAGUUGCGAACGGGUGAGUAACGCGUAGGUAACCUGCCUGGUAGCGGGGGAUAACUAUUGGAAACGAUAGCUAAUACCGCAUAACAGUAGAUGUUGCAUGACAACUAUUUGAAAGGGGCAAUUGCUCCACUACCAGAUGGACCUGCGUUGUAUUAGCUAGUUGGUGAGGUAACGGCUCACCAAGGCGACGAUACAUAGCCGACCUGAGAGGGUGAUCGGCCACACUGGGACUGAGACACGGCCCAGACUCCUACGGGAGGCAGCAGUAGGGAAUCUUCGGCAAUGGACGGAAGUCUGACCGAGCAACGCCGCGUGAGUGAAGAGGGUUUUCGGAUCGUAAAGCUCUGUUGUAAGAGAAGAACGAGUGUGAGAGUGGAAAGUUCACACUGUGACGGUAGCUUACCAGAAAGGGACGGCUAACUACAUG